GGGUGUCCUCCCACCCCACAGAGGCCCCAUCCUUCCCUUUCUCUCCCUAAGGCUGCUCCAGCAGGGAGUUUAGCUCCAUGGACACCUUUGAAGACUGUGAAGGCGCAGAAGACAUGGAAGAGGAGAGCAGCGCUCUGAGUCUCGCCGGCCUUUUCCAGUCGGACGACAGUCACGAAACCUGUUCCUCCAAAUCUGCUUUCCUGGAGAGGGGAGAAAGCACCCAGGGAGAAAAAGAAGAACGCGAUGAGGAGGAAACGUGAGUGUGAGCGAGGAAAGACUAAGCGCCUCUUUGGGCCACGGCGUCUCUGACUUUCUUCUCGGAAUUGCAGGGCGACCCGCAGCACGGAGGAGGAGCGCGCUGGGGCGUCCACGGGCGGGCUGGCUCCUGCGGGGGCGACGGCUGGUUUCCAGGCGAGGGCGCUGCGCCCGAGGACCUCCGCCCAGGAGAGCUGACCUCCCUGCGGACGCCCCCGCUCCUCGGCUCCAGAGCGCCCGCAUUCCCGGGAGAGGCGGUGUGGGAGCCCGGGCCCUGCCCAGCUACGCAGAAAGCAGCCGGAGCCUCGGCGGCGGCAGAAAGGGGACAACCAGGGCCUCCUCCCAGGAGCCCGAGGGGUGCCCUGGGUGCGCGCCUAGCUCCGCACGGGGGACCUCGGAGCUGCUCUAAGGCGCCUGCAGAGGCGAGCAGAGCCCGCAGCCCACGCCUUCUCAACCGCGCACUUCGACGUUCGGAGCCGGGCAGUUCUUUGCUGUGUGGGCUUCUCUGUGCUCCCACGGUAGGAUGUUUAGCAGCAUCCCUGGCCUCUACCCACUAGGUGCCAGGAAUGCGCCACCCCAUCCUCCACCCCACCCCCAAAUUGUGACAAUCAAAAAUGCCUGCAGACACGCCCACAUUUCUCCAGGGCGGGGUGGGAAUCGGUUGAGAGCCGCUUAGCCCGAGCCUUGGAGGAGCCGGAGCCGCUCAAACCCGGCGGGGGCCGCAGACUGGGAGCUCCCGGUCCGCCUCCCAGAAUCCCUGCGAGCGUUCAUGGGGUGUUCGUGUUAGUGCCGAGAUUGCUUCGUUGUAGAGAGAGUUCGUUCCAAGUUACUUUCUGAGGUAUUUUAUGUAUCGAUUGAUUAGUUUUUAAAUGAGUUUUGUUAUUUUCAGUUGUAUUUUUAGUUUUAUUAGUUGAUUUUCAUUUCUUUGUAGCUUUCUAGUUAUUUAAUUUUAUAGUUUCAGUUACUGGUUUAUAGUUAUUUUCAAAGUUAUAUAGUUGUUGAGUUGUUCAUUUUCAGUUAUUUAUAUGUAGUUGUUUUGUUUUAGGAGUUAUAGAUGUUCAAAUUAAUUUGCUUGGAAUUUAUUUAUUUAUUUAUUUAUUGAGACGGAGUCUUGCUCUGCCGCCCAGGCUGGAGUGCACUGGUGUGAUCUCAGCUCACUGCAAGCUCCGCCUCCCGGGUUCACGCCAUUCUCCUGCCUCAGCCUCCUGAGUAGCUGGGACUACAGGCGCCCGCCACCACGCCCGGCUAAUUUUUUAUUUGUAUUUUUAGUAGAGACGGGGUUUCACCGUGUUAGCCAGGAUGGUCUCCAUCUCCUGACCUCGUGAUCCGCCCGCCUCGGCCUCCCAAAGUGCUGGGAUUACAGGCGUGAGCCACCGCGCCCAGCCGGAAUUUAUUUUUAAUUAUCUUUACAAUUAUUAUCUGAGUUAUUUACCUUCAUAGUUAUUUCACUUUAUCUUAUUGAAGUUUUUGAGUUAUUUAUCUUUAUAGUAACUUAUUUGACUAUUAAAAACUCACUGGAAGUUGAUGAACUACUGUCAACUUAUUUAUUUUCAGAGUGAAAUGUUUUAAUGAAGGGUUUCCCCUAGUUAUCUGGUUUUCGAGUUGCUUAUGUUCACAGGUAUUUAUUUUCAGUUAUUUUAUAUUUGAGUUGUUUAUUUUUAUGUUCUUUUUUUCAAGUUACUUGGUUUUUAGUUAUUUCAUUUUCAGCAUUACUUCAUAUUUGAACAUUAUAUUUUCUGAAUUUUUAAAGAGUUUUUGAGGUAUUUAGUUUUUGAGCUAUUUUCAGAGUUAUUUAUUCUCAGUUAUUUCUUUUCAGCUUUGUAUUUGCCAUUCAAAUUUUUUUUCUGUUCUUUAUUUAAUUUUCAGAUUUUUUUUUCUUUUUUUUUUUUUUUUUGGAGAUGGAGUUUUGCUCUUGUCACCCAGGCUGGAGUGAAGUGCCGCAAUCUUGGCUCACUGCAACCUCCGCCUCCCGGGUUCAAGCAAUUCUCCUACCUCAGCCUCCCAAGUAGUUGGGAUUACAGGCACCUGCCACCAUGCCCAGCUAAUUUGUUGUUGUUGUUGUUGUUGUUGAGACGGAGUUUCUCUCUGUCACCCAGGCUGGAGUGCAGUGGUGCAAUCUCGGCUCACUGCAAGCUCCACCUCCCGGGUUCACGCCAUUCUCCUGUCUCAGCCUCCUGAAUAGCUGGGACUACAGGCAUCUGCCACCACACCCGGCUAAUUUUGUUUGGUAUUUUUUUUUUUUUUUUAGUAAAGAUGAGGUUUCACCAUGUUAGCCAGGAUGGUCUGGAUCUCCUGACCGGGUUUUGCCAUGUUUGCCAGGCUGGUCUCCAACUCCUGACCUCAGGUGAUCCAUUCGCGUUGGCCUCCCAAAGUGCUGGGAUUACAGGUGUGAGCCACCGCACCCGGCCCUCAGAAUUAUUUAGAGUUAGAAUUCUUAGUCUACUAGUCAAGUUUCAAUCAAGAGACACUGUAUCAGUUAUUUCAAGAGAGAAUUUAAUAUAAAUAAUUGUUAUCCAGCUAGUAGAGAUUUAAAAAAAAGUAGUGAUAAUGAGAUAUCAUGAAGAUUUUGACUGCAAGCUCCCAGCCCAAGGACUCAUACAACAAAGAAAAGAGGUUGAAAAUAUCAAAACUCAGAAAUAUGAAGGUGGCCCUAGGGCUGGGGGUUAGUCCUCUGAGGAGGAGGCACCAUCAAUGGUACACGUGGCCCAAGGGCUCAGAGCUCAAGGUCCAGGAGCUGGACGCAGAAUUCUGGAGAGGGGACAUGGCCAGCCCGUGCUGCUGUCUCUGAAUGGGCAUCAUCAGGCUGGUUAUAGGAGUGCUAGGAAAAUGGCAAGCUGGAACCAACUCCCGCUACUGGAACCAGCUGUCACUCUCAGGGUGGAGACAGGAUGCUGACAGUGGGGGUGGGGUGGGGUGCACACAGGAAGGAGCCCGUGGUGGCCCUGCACCCCAGAGCUGGGAAGGGUGGGCUGGAAGCUUAAUUACCUGCACACUCAGCUUUAGAGUUACAUAGAGUUAUGUUAGGAUUCCAUUAGUUUUGGAAUUGUCAGGGGUGAUUUGAUUUCACAUUUUCAUGGGAUAUGGGAUUGGGAUGAGUCUUCAGUCUCCUGGUUUGUUUCUGGAAUAGAGUGGGCCACACCUCCCAGGAGUCUCCCCCAGGGGACUCAAGACAAUCACUUUAGAAUUCAAGAAAACAAAAAUAGUGUGUCUCACUUUGUUCAUAAAGAAGCCCUUUGACAACGUGGCCAAAAAGGGGCAGAGCCUAAGGGACAGACUCUUAGAAAGAUGCCCUUGGAACAGGGUCCCGCAGAGUGUUCCUCUCAAAUUCUUUAGAACUUUACGCUGUUUUGUGGGGCCACCCUCUCCCACGCCCUUUCCUAACAACACAGUGUCUUUCUUGAUAGAGUGUGUUUCAAAUUUGUAGACUGUUUGCACAAUAAAAUAAAGUUCCUC
Molecule: long non-coding RNA, 3708 nt
Filed under: Pan troglodytes (chimpanzee)
Lineage: Eukaryota; Metazoa; Chordata; Mammalia; Primates; Hominidae
Description: long non-coding RNA NONPTRT012216
Source: RNAcentral